This 69-nucleotide transfer RNA is filed under the name Alosa alosa (allis shad). RNAcentral's name for it is "tRNA-OTHER". It matches the Rfam family "tRNA". From Rfam's summary of the family: Transfer RNA (tRNA) molecules are approximately 80 nucleotides in length. Their secondary structure includes four short double-helical elements and three loops (D, anti-codon, and T loops). The record is from RNAcentral. Lineage: Eukaryota; Metazoa; Chordata; Actinopteri; Clupeiformes; Clupeidae.
GCAUUGGUGGUUCAGUGGUAGAAUUUCGCCUGCCACAGCGGGGCCCGGGUUCGAUUCCCGGCCAAUGCA